AACUCGUGGCCACCUAGCCUAGAGGCGGCUGCCAAGCGUCCUGGCUGAGGGAUGGCGGGACCCCAGGCGGCUGGAGUGGAGAAAGUUGACCGCCCCCGUCUUUUCUGCCCCGUGGGUGGCUACUGCGUGCCCCCAAGUAACCCAGAGAUUGAGGGCCCCCCAGUGCGCGGCGGCCGGGGGUCAGGAUGCGGGACUCCCCUCCACCGCCAUGAUCUCGCAGUGUGGGGGAGCGCUCAGGGACAGAAAUGAGGCCCGAGAUGUGUGCCUUCUCCUUGCUCCUGACCACUGACUUCGUUAUUCCAAAUACGCAGCCGAAACCAUCGCUCUUGCAGGUGCAGCUUUUCUCUGCCUCUCCUAUGUGGAAAGCAGCGCAGCGUGGACUCCAGCCAAACUCCCUCGAUUGGAUUGCAGCUCUCUGGCUCUCUGUCCCUGUGACCUUGGGCAGUUUACCUCCUCUAUGUCUCAGUUUCCUCAGCUGUGCAAAGGGGUUACUGAUCCUGCUUAACGGGGUGGGUUGUUGUGAAGAGGAAAUGAGUUAACAUAAGUAGAGAAAGAGACUGGUGCCUGGCAAGCACUAUGUGAGUGUUUUGAUGUUAUUAUUGCUGUUUUUAUUAGAGCUGUGUGUAACGGGACGUUUAAUGAGCCUUUUCCUGUUACCCUGGAAUUAGUGAGUCAGGGCACAAAGUACACAGUGUUCAUUUCCUCAAGAGGACACAACAAGGCACCAUCUUGGAAGCAGAGAGCGAGCCAUCACUGGACACCAAACCUGCAGGUGCCUUGAUCUUGGACUUCCCAGCCUCUAUAACUCAAAUAUGCGCUGGAAUUAGGAGUCUCGCACUUUACUGGCCCCUCCAGCUGCAGAGAUGACUGGUCACAUUCUCAUGGAUGAAGGUAACGGCAGAGUAGCGAGGGGCUGUGAACCCCCACUGGAGCUGACUGCCCGCCUAGAUCCUGACUCUGCCACUCUCAAGUCCCGUGAUGUGUCUCCGUGCCUUCCUUUCCACAGGGCAAAGGAUAUGCCACCACCCUCCUGUGUCUGAAGCUUGCCCAGCCAGCAGGUCCAGCUCCAGUGCUGCGUCAUGUGAAAGCCUUCCCCACUAUCAUGGCCUGCCCUGGAUUCUCAUGGAAUUAAAUGGACAAGCUGAUUCUAAAAUUCAUAUGGAACUGCAAGGGACACAGAAGAACCAAAGCAGUCUUGGACAAGAACAAUGUUAGAAGACUCACUUCUCCAUUUCAAAACUUACUACAAAACUAUAGUAAUCGGCCAGGUGCGGUGGCUCACGCCUGUAAUCCCAGCAUUUUGGGAGGCCAAGGUGGGCAGAUCACUUGAGGUCAGGAGUUUGAGACCAGCCUGGCCAACAUGGUGAAACCCCAUCUCAACUAAAAAGACAAAAAAUUAGCUGGACAUGGUGGUGGGCGCCUAUAAUCCCAGCUACUCAGGAGGCUGAGGCAGAAGAAUGGCGUGAACCCGGGAGGCAGAGGUUGCAGUGAGCCAAAAUCACGCUGUUGCACUCCAGCCUGGGCAACAGAGCGAGACUCUGUCUCAAAAAAAAAAAAAAAAAAAAAAGUUCAUAACAGCACUAUUCACAAUAGCCCAAAAAUGGAAACAACACAAAUGACCACCAACAGGUAAAUGGAUAAACAGAAUAAAGGAAUAUUAUUUAGCGUCACAGAUAAUGAGGUGUUGAAUGAGGCUACAGCGUGGAUGAACCUGGAAACACUGUGCUAAGAGAAAGACGCCCGACACAAAAGCCCACAUACUGUGUGAUUCCAGUUUUAUGAAAUGUCCAGAAUAGGCAAAUCUACGGAGAGAAAGACGCCAGACACAAAAGCCCACAUGCUGUGUGAUUCCAGUUCUGUGAAAUGUCCAGAACAGGCAAAUCCACGGAGAGAAAGACGCCAGACACAGAAGCCCACAUGCUGUGUGAUUCCGGUUCUAUGAAAUGUCCAGAAUAGGAAAAUCUACGGAGAGAAAGACGCCAGACACAAAAGCCCACAUGCUGUGUGAUUCCAGUUCUAUGAAAUGUCCAGAACAGGCAAAUCCACGGAGAGAAAGACGCCAGACACAAAAGCCCACAUGCUGUGUGAUUCCGGUUCUAUGAAAUGUCCAGAAUAGGCAAAUCCACGAAGACAGAAAGUAGAUUGGUGGAUACCUAGGGCAUGGGGUGGGGAGAAGUGGGGAAUAACUGCCAACAGAUUUGCGGUUUCUCUUGGGGAAAUGGAAAUGUUCUGGAAUUACAUCGUGGCGAUGCAUGUACAGCAUAGUGAAUAUACUAAAGCCACUGAAGUAUAAACUUUAAAAUGA
Pan troglodytes (chimpanzee) is the source of this 2305-nucleotide long non-coding RNA. RefSeq lists it as uncharacterized. The record is from RefSeq and is a predicted model, not a curated record. The transcript has 5 exons. Lineage: Eukaryota; Metazoa; Chordata; Mammalia; Primates; Hominidae.